GCCUGGCUAGCUCAGUCAGAAGAGCAUGUGACUCUUGAUCUCGGGGUCAUGGGUUCUAGCCCCAAGUUGGGUG
This 73-nucleotide transfer RNA is filed under the name Canis lupus familiaris (dog). It matches the Rfam family "tRNA". From Rfam's summary of the family: Transfer RNA (tRNA) molecules are approximately 80 nucleotides in length. RNAcentral also lists the same sequence under 1 other name. Lineage: Eukaryota; Metazoa; Chordata; Mammalia; Carnivora; Canidae. The record is from Rfam by way of RNAcentral.